AGAGUUGAUCCUGGCUUAGGAUGAACGCUAGCUACAGGCUUAACACAUGCAAGUCGAGGGGCAGCAUGGGAUUAGCUUGCUAAUCCUGAUGGCGACCGGCGCACGGGUGAGUAACGCGUAUCCAACCUUCCCCCUGCUCAGGGAUAGCCCGCUGAAAGGCGGAUUAACACCUGAUGGCUUCACUAGAUGGCAUCUGACGGUGAAUAAAGUUUACGGCAAGGGAUGGGGAUGCGUCUGAUUAGCUUGUUGGCGGGGUAACGGCCCACCAAGGCAACGAUCAGUAGGGGUUCUGAGAGGAAGGUCCCCCACAUUGGAACUGAGACACGGUCCAAACUCCUACGGGAGGCAGCAGUGAGGAAUAUUGGUCAAUGGGCGGAAGCCUGAACCAGCCAAGUAGCGUGCCAGGAUGACGGCCCUAUGGGUUGUAAACUGCUUUUGUACGGGAAUAAAGUCAUCCACGUGUGGAUGUUUGCAUGUACCGUAAGAAUAAGGACUGGCUAAUUCCGUGCCAGCCGCGGC
This 519-nucleotide ribosomal RNA is filed under the name uncultured bacterium. RNAcentral describes it as "bacterial SSU rRNA". It matches the Rfam family "Bacterial small subunit ribosomal RNA", at positions 8 to 518 of the family's 1533-position model. The record is from RNAcentral.